RNAcentral lists this unclassified non-coding RNA (206 nucleotides) under Hevea brasiliensis (rubber tree). The record is from RNAcentral. Lineage: Eukaryota; Viridiplantae; Streptophyta; Magnoliopsida; Malpighiales; Euphorbiaceae.
GCCAUACCCGCUAACUUGGACUCUUGUCCAUCUGAUUAAAUUUAUGCAAUUAUUUUGCUUCUUCCUUCUACAAACUCUCAUUUCUCCACCUCUUCAUUUUCACUUCCUUCUCCCAUUGCUUUCUUCUCUGCUCCACAACCUCAACCUCCACUUAUAGGCGUUUUUUGUUUCAUAUAUUUUUUUCCUAUAUAUAUUAAAAAAAAGAA